Peromyscus maniculatus bairdii (prairie deer mouse) is the source of this 617-nucleotide non-coding RNA. The record is from RefSeq and is a predicted model, not a curated record. Lineage: Eukaryota; Metazoa; Chordata; Mammalia; Rodentia; Cricetidae.
AGAGCGCAGAGAGAAGACUCGGGGAGCUGGGAGAGGGCACGAACGUGAGCGUUUCCCAGAUGAUGAAGAUUACCGGUGGCGCUGUGACCUGCUCAUUCUCAUCUGGAGAAAUGGCAGCUGCAAAGCAACCUGUUCUUGCCUCCUGUGGCUUCCCUGAAGAGACAUCUCACAAUCUCUUUAAGGAAACCUGGCAGCUCUAAAGAGAGGCACCUUUGGAAAGGAAAAGACCUCAUAAGCAAGAUGGAGUUCUCCCCUGAAGCUGGAGCCAUGAAUUCAAGAGUUUAUCAAAAGCUGCUGUGAUGGCUAAUCCUGAUUUCAACUUGAUACCUGGGAAGAGGGAACCUCAGUUGAAGAAUUGACUCCAUGGAUUGAUUGGCCUGUGGGCAUAUCUGUGGAGAAUUUGUUUGAUUGCUAAUUGAUGUGGUGAGCUCAGCCCAUUUGCCUGUGCUGUGAUCCCAGGCCACGGGCCCCAACCACAUCAGAAAGGUAGCUGACUUGUGAGCCUGGGAGGAAGCCAGCCAACAUCUUUUCUCUAUGGUUUCUGCUUUGAGUUGCUUGCCCUGUCUCUUUCAAUAAAGCGUUAUGACCUGGAAGUGAAAUAAACCCUUUCUCCUUCA